This 128-nucleotide microRNA precursor is filed under the name Manihot esculenta (cassava). The record is from RNAcentral. Lineage: Eukaryota; Viridiplantae; Streptophyta; Magnoliopsida; Malpighiales; Euphorbiaceae.
GAAGUAGACACGGCGUGAUAUUGGCACGGCUCAUCUUCUACUGGAUCUUCCAUAACUAGCCAGGAUCCAUUUCUUGAUAAAAUGAAGAAGAAGACGACGAGCCGAACCAAUAUCACUCUUGUAUGCUU